GCCAGUGUAGCAUAAUGGCUUGAGUGUUGGACUGUGACUCUGGAGACCAGGGUUCAAUUCCUGCUCAGUCA
This 71-nucleotide transfer RNA is filed under the name Phrynosoma platyrhinos (Desert horned lizard). Its description in RNAcentral is "tRNA-OTHER". Lineage: Eukaryota; Metazoa; Chordata; Lepidosauria; Squamata; Phrynosomatidae. The record is from RNAcentral.